GGAGUUCCUGCGGGGUGGCUGCGGCCUGAGACCCCCCUUGAUUGGCGAGAAUGCGACGGGAACAUCGUACGCACUGCUCUGUCACCAGGGGAACCCGUUGAACCUGAACCGGAUAAUACCGGCGGAGGGACAGGGCGCUGCAAUUCU
RNAcentral lists this non-coding RNA (147 nucleotides) under Luminiphilus syltensis NOR5-1B. Its description in RNAcentral is "gamma proteobacterium NOR51-B TPP riboswitch aptamer (THI element)". It matches the Rfam family "TPP riboswitch aptamer (THI element)". From Rfam's summary of the family: Vitamin B(1) in its active form thiamin pyrophosphate (TPP) is an essential coenzyme that is synthesised by coupling of pyrimidine and thiazole moieties in bacteria. The previously detected thiamin-regulatory element, thi box was extended, resulting in a new, highly conserved RNA secondary structure, the THI element, which is widely distributed in eubacteria and also occurs in some archaea. Analysis of operon structures identified a large number of new candidate thiamin-regulated genes, mostly transporters, in various prokaryotic organisms. RNAcentral also lists the same sequence under 1 other name. The record is from Rfam by way of RNAcentral. Lineage: Bacteria; Pseudomonadati; Pseudomonadota; Gammaproteobacteria; Cellvibrionales; Halieaceae.